Molecule: ribosomal RNA, 755 nt
Filed under: uncultured bacterium
Lineage: Bacteria
Description: bacterial SSU rRNA
Rfam family: Bacterial small subunit ribosomal RNA
Source: RNAcentral
GUGGCAAACGGGUGAGUAACGCGUAGGUAAUCUGCUCCAAAGUCGAGAAUAGCUCGCCGAAAGGCGGGAUAAUACUUGAUAGUCCCAUAUCACUUCGGUGUUUAUGGGUAAAGCUCCGGCGCUUUGGAAGGAGCCUGCGUCCUAUCAGCUAGUUGGUGAGGUAAAAGCUCACCAAGGCGAAGACGGGUAGCUGGCGUGAGAGCGCGACCAGCCACAAUGGGACUGAGAACGGCCCAUACUCCUACGGGAGGCAGCAAUUAGGAAUCUUGCGCAAUGGGGGCAACCCUGACGCAGCGACGUCGCGUGGAGGAUGAAGGUCCUAGGAUCGUAAACUCCUUUUAUGUGGGAAGAAUACAUGGCUGUACCACAUGAAUAAGCACCUGCUAACUACGUGCCAGAAGCAUCGGUGAUGCGUAGGGUGCGAACGUUAUCCGGAUUUAUUGGGCGUAAAGAGAUGCGUAGGCGUUUUAGUAAGUCUUUUGUGAAAAACCUCGGCUUAACCGAGGAACCGCAUUGGAAACUGCUAGAAUUGAGACAGAGAGGGGUGAAUGGAAUUCCCGGUGGAGUGGUGAAAUACGUUGAUAUCGGGAGGAACACCAGAGGCGAAGGCGAUUCACUGGCUCUGUUCUGACGCUAAGGCUCGAAAGCGUGGGUAGCAAAACGGAUUAGAUACCCGUGUAGUCCACGCUGUAAACAAUGGAUGCUAGCUGUUUGGCACGACCAAAGUGUUGAGUGGCGCAGCUAACGCGAUAAGC